GACGAACGCUGGCGGCGUGCUUAACACAUGCAAGUCGAACGGAAAGGCCCUGCUUUUGUGGGGUGCCCGAGUGGCGCACGGGUGAGUAACACGUGAGUAACCUGCCCUUGACUUUGGGAUAACCUCAGGAAACUGGGGCUAAUACCGGAUAGGAGCUCCUGCUGCAUGGUGGGGGUUGGAACGUUUCGGCGGGUGGGGAUGGACUCGCGGCUUAUCAGCUUGUUGGUGGGGUAGUGGCUUACCAAGGCUUUGACGGGUAGCCGGCCUGGGAGGGUGACCGGCGACAUGGGGACUGAGGGACGGCCCAGACUCCUACGGGGGGCAGCAGUGGGGAAUAUUGCACAAUGGGCGGAAGCCUGAGGCAGCAGCGCCGCGUGCGGGAUGACGGCCUUCGGGUUGUAAACCGCUUUCGCCUGUGACGAAGCGUGAGUGACGGUAAUGGGUAAAGAAGCACCGGCUAACUACGUG
Molecule: ribosomal RNA, 468 nt
Filed under: uncultured bacterium
Lineage: Bacteria
Description: partial 16S ribosomal RNA
Rfam family: Bacterial small subunit ribosomal RNA
Source: RNAcentral